CCAGGCUGCAGAGAAUCCAGUCACCAAUCUAUGCAGGCCCACAAGUUGCCUGAGGGCUUGUUGUUGGGAGGGGCCAGUCUCUAGGGUGGGCUGCCUGCCCUGGCUGAGCUGGAUUAAAUGGGUGCUCUAGCGGGUGGGGCAGACCCUGGGCUAGCAGGCCCCAGGGAGAACUCCAAUGGCGUCUGUGUCAGCACGCCCACACCAGGCCACAACAAUGGCAGCUGCCAAUGUCCCAGUCCCUGGAGGGGUCUUACCCCUCACCGAGAUGCACUCAGGGCCUAUUAGCACCUGUGGUGACCCUCCCGUGGCUGUCAAUGAAUCAUGUAUCUGGAUUCCAUAUCAAACAUUUCCCACCAUCAGGGAGACAGAUGCACCGUCACAGCAUCAUUUCGGCUGCACCUGGGGAGUCAGAGUCAGAGAAUGAUGGAGCUGUGUUGUUCUGAAGCCUUAGGCACCUGCUGCUCAGAAUCUCCAUGAAGCCACUGCAGAAGGCUCUGGAAAGAGGCACUUGACCUUCCCUUACAUCAGAAGAGAGAAGAGCCAGGGACUAGCAUUGGAAUCAGUGCCCAUUCUAGCUGGAGGGGUUCACUUUUGCUCUUGAGAAGAAACAGAAGUGUUUGAAGAUUCAAUAAAGCUUCUGUUCAUUAUCAAACCCCAGCAGGACUUUAUGAUAAUUUUUAUAACUUCUUCAUUCAAAACUCUGGGUGCUUUGAAGGUUAAUAACUCGUGUUUAUCAAAACUUCCCUUCAAGGAACUCAGAGAGCUUUGUAAUUCAGCAGCACCAUAGGACGAGGGAACAAGAAACAGGGAGAGGAUGAACAGAUGAGAUUAUUCCAAUUUAGGAGAACUUAUAAUAUUAAUAGCUCCAACAGGAAGUUUAAGUGUUUUAGAAAAUCGCAAAACAAGUCGUGAGCCAUCCAGGAAGAGAUCUCUUCACAACGCAGCACUGGCAGCCUCAGACUACCAUCUGGCUCUACUACUGUGAACUCAGGGGAGCUGGACCUCUGCAGCUCACGUUUCUCAUCUGUAAAAUGGGACAAUAAGUCCUACUUCUGUGUUGUUGUGGUAUUAAUGAGGUAAAGGAGAAAAUGUACCAGCACAAUGCUCGGCACAUCGUUAGUGCUUGGUGACUAUUACCUCCCCUCCCACCUUCUGUAGGGAGCCACAGACUAUCCCCACGUCAGAGACGCAGGGAUGUAGAGGGUGUUGGAGGAUGAGGGAACAGUGAUCAUUUUCCUUUUCUGGAAACUGACAUCCAAAGGGUACAACCCAGUUUUGUGAGAAGACUGACUCUCUCUCCCCAAAAUCUGGAACAAAAGGGUCUUAAAGUCAUAUGGAGAAGAGAAAAGGAAGGACCCAUACAACCAAAGGAUCCUUAGGAGCUUUGCUGGUGAUCCUUAGGAGCAUGACUGACUGAUGUGGGGAGCCAAGGCCUGCACUGUUCCCACCCAGGCUCCCCCAUUGCACGUUCUGAACUAGACUUGGGUAAGAAAGAGAAGAAUCCUUCUCUUGGUUCCUCUGUCAGGUCCUUUUACUGAUUGUGGGCUCUGUCCAUCCAUGGGAAUCCAUGAGAUGAUUGUGAGAAGCAGAAGCUGUGGACUUGCAGCCAGAGGUCUGAGGUCCCUUUUGGUCCCCCUGCCUGAGCUCGUCUAUCUUUGGCACACUCUAGCCCUGGAAGGCUUUGCUAGACAUCUUGCCAUUAAUGGUAUUGCUUGGAUUCACCUCCUCCUGUCCUGCAUCUUAGAGCAAGUGAAUUUUGGACUUACAUUAUUUGCAUAUGUCAGCCAGUGAAAAGAUAAAGGCAGACGAUGCCAAGGAAGAAGAUGGUGGAGCAUCACAGGUGGUUCUGGUGAUAGAGAAAUGAUGACUAGGAAGUGGCUGUCAUGUUGCUUAAUCUCAUGGCCAACUUAUAUCAUCUAAAAAGAGUACAGAAUAGUUCUCUCAAUUCCAACGGGAGCCACCCUCAGCAGCAAGACCAUCUCACGGACGCCACAUUCUCAACAUGGUGUAGAUACAAAAGAAGCCAGCUACUGGACAGAGUGCUGGGAAUAGAAUGCAGAACAAACACAGUCCUGCUCCAAGGAUUUGGUGCCUGGUGGGGGAGACAGGUUGGGUUCCCAGGAAAUAGAUUCUUGAAUGGAGAGUUGCAUGGAGAUUUAUUCUGGAGAGCUCUUGGAAUUACGCCUGUGAGGAAGUGAGAAAGCCAUGAUUGGGCAGAGGAAGAAGCUGAUCACUGAAGUGGUUGAAGCUGAAGCCUCAGCUAAUCCUACUGGAAGCUCUGGAACCAUUCAGAGUUGUCCUCAAGUCGAAGCAAAGAGUCUGUGCCCUUGUGUCCAUCUAUCAGCAGGUCAUUGGCUAUGGGUCACUCUCUUUGGGAGGGAGCAUAACUUUGAUAAAGUGUUACCUUGUGGCAGAGAGCAAUUCCUGGUGAGAGGCAGAGCUCUGAGCCAUCAGCAGCCAUCACUCUGGCAGUUGGGGAAAUGAGUGUGUCCACCUUGAAAAGAGUAGCUGGACAGAGCACCAAGGGUCCAGGAAAGUCAACCAACAUGGCCCUGCCAGCUCAGGCCUGAGCCUUCUUAUUCACUAUUUCAGAAGGAGAGAAUUUCUUUUCAGGUGAUGUUUGUGAGAAGAGAAUUUCAGUAUCUAGCCUGGGUUCCUACUGCCCCUGUGAUGGAGGAGAUGGAGGUCAUGUGGUUGAGAGAUCCACCAUAUAUGGGAGGGACAGUCCCCCAAAGGAAUACAUGCUGCACAGACAAAAAAGGGGACCAAUGUCAACUAUAGCUUUCAAAAUCUUCUUACCCCAGAGGAUGAGAAAGCACGUCCACAAGUGAUGAGUAAUAGCAUAAAACAUUUUUUAUCACAAACUCUUCUAAAAAGUGUGACCUGAGGCGGCUUCGUCUUCUUGUUUUGUAGGUUAAGACAGAGAAGGGAAACGUUUUUUAAGUUUAUCUUUGCACUUACUCCUAAAUCUAUAUUCUACAUUUUAAUUUUGAAAAUAACUCUGCAUAUACCAUAGUGUGGGAUGGUCUGUUUUGAUUAAGAAUGUUUUUAGAAAAGGCAAGAUAAAAAAAUAAUAUAAGUUGGAAUAAUUUCCAACCUAAUGUAUAUAGAAGUACUCUUCAGUGAACAUUGUUCUCUAACUCCAUUCAUUAUUCAUCUAAAGAUUUAGACUGCUUCAUUAAUAGUAAUAUACUUGCUCACAUUUGUUGUGUACUUAUUAUUUGCCAGACACUCAAA
Diceros bicornis minor is the source of this 3237-nucleotide long non-coding RNA. RefSeq lists it as uncharacterized. The transcript has 5 exons. The record is from RefSeq and is a predicted model, not a curated record. NCBI's taxonomy places the organism in Eukaryota, Metazoa, Chordata, Mammalia, Perissodactyla, Rhinocerotidae.